AUUCUGCCCAUACGGGGAAGGAUGAGAACCUUUGACCAAGGUUCGACUCGAGCGUCAGCGAGAGAGCGUUGCCGCAGGCAACGACCCGAAGGGCGAAGCGCGCAGCGCUGAGUAAUCCUUCCCCCACCACCA
RNAcentral lists this small RNA (132 nucleotides) under Escherichia coli. Its description in RNAcentral is "RtT sRNA". It matches the Rfam family "RtT RNA". Rfam says of the family: This family represents a bacterial cis-regulatory element known as RtT RNA. The exact function of RtT is unknown although it is thought that it may be involved in changing the cellular response in relation to amino acid starvation. Lineage: Bacteria; Pseudomonadati; Pseudomonadota; Gammaproteobacteria; Enterobacterales; Enterobacteriaceae. The record is from RNAcentral.